UGAACGCUGGCGGCGUGCCUAAUACAUGCAAGUCGAGCGAACGGACGAGAAGCUUGCUUCUCUGAUGUUAGCGGCGGACGGGUGAGUAACACGUGGAUAACCUACCUAUAAGACUGGGAUAACUUCGGGAAACCGGAGCUAAUACCGGAUGAUAUUUUGAACCGCAUGGUUCAAAAGUGAAAGGCGGUCUUGCUGUCACUUAUAGAUGGAUCCGCGCUGCAUUAGCUAGUUGGUAAGGUAACGGCUUACCAAGGCAACGAUGCAUAGCCGACCUGAGAGGGUGAUCGGCCACACUGGAACUGAGACACGGUCCAGACUCCUACGGGAGGCAGCAGUAGGGAAUCUUCCGCAAUGGGCGAAAGCCUGACGGAGCAACGCCGCGUGAGUGAUGAAGGUCUUCGGAUCGUAAAACUCUGUUAUUAGGGAAGAACAUAUGUGUAAGUAACUGUGCACAUCUUGACGGUACCUAAUCAGAAAGCCACGGCUAACUACGUG
This 495-nucleotide ribosomal RNA is filed under the name uncultured bacterium. RNAcentral's name for it is "partial 16S ribosomal RNA". It matches the Rfam family "Bacterial small subunit ribosomal RNA", at positions 30 to 507 of the family's 1533-position model. The record is from RNAcentral.